This 312-nucleotide ribosomal RNA is filed under the name uncultured bacterium. RNAcentral's name for it is "bacterial SSU rRNA". It matches the Rfam family "Bacterial small subunit ribosomal RNA", at positions 28 to 334 of the family's 1533-position model. The record is from RNAcentral.
GAUGAACGCUAGCGGCAGGCUUAACACAUGCAAGUCGAGGGUAACAGGGAGAAGCUUGCUUUUCCGCUGACGACCGGCGCACGGGUGCGUAACGCGUAUAGAACCUACCUUUUACAGGAGAAUAGCCUUUAGAAAUGAAGAUUAAUGCUCCAUGGUAUUAUUGAUUGGCAUCAAUUAAUAAUUAAACAUUUAUGGGUAAAAGAUGGCUAUGCGUUCUAUUAGCUAGAUGGUAAGGUAACGGCUUACCAUGGCUACGAUAGAUAGGGGCCCUGAGAGGGGGAUCCCCCACACUGGUACUGAGACACGGACCAG